RNAcentral lists this ribosomal RNA (417 nucleotides) under uncultured bacterium. RNAcentral's name for it is "bacterial SSU rRNA". It matches the Rfam family "Bacterial small subunit ribosomal RNA", at positions 506 to 921 of the family's 1533-position model. The record is from RNAcentral.
UGCCAGCAGCCGCGGUAAGACAGAGGGUGCAAACGUUGCUCGGAAUCACUGGGCGUAAAGGGCGUGUAGGCGGACGUGUAAGUCGGGCGUGAAAUCCCUGGGCUCAACCCAGGAACUGCACUCGAAACUGCGCGUCUUGAGUACCGGAGAGGAAGGUGGAAUUCCUGGUGUAGAGGUGAAAUUCGUAGAUAUCAGGAGGAACACCAGUGGCGAAGGCGGCCUUCUGGACGGUAACUGACGCUGAGACGCGAAAGCGUGGGGAGCAAACAGGAUUAGAUACCCUGGUAGUCCACGCUGUAAACGAUGAACACUAGGUGUCGUGGGUAUUGACCCCUGCGGUGCCGUAGCUAACGCAUUAAGUGUUCCGCCUGGGAAGUACGGUCGCAAGACUAAAACUUAAAGGAAUUGGCGGGGGAC